CCAUAACUUCCUGAGGAAAAACCUAAAUGAUGAGAAAGAUUGGCUGGCUUAUCGUCAAUAUUCCAGCAGUGAUGAAGAUGACACUCCAGGCUUGAAAACCUUAGAGAUGUUGUGAGGACAAAGUGUCUCCCAUGAACCUAAGGGUCUACCAGGUACAGGACAAUCUUGAUUUGUGAGGUUGGUGGUCACUCUCUUCCACAGGACCUGAUUCAACUCCAGGCCUCUGGUGGUUGGUACAUGUGGAAGGGUGGAUCGGAUAAUUGGUCACUUGAUUAAUUGGAGAGUUUCACAGUACACUCAAUUUUUCCUCUAAUGAUCUCAUGCUGGAGAACAAUUUGAUUUGUGGAUGUGGGAAAACAGGAAGCACAUGGGCAGUACUUGGGAGGGAAAAAAGCAGCAAGAUGGUAUUGAGGGACAGAAAGAAGGAAGAGAGGCUCCAUCACGCAGAGAAAAAUAUGGAGACAGUGUCUGCAAGCUUACAGGAAAGGGAGAACAUGGACAUUUCUCCCUAUCUACAUUUAUGGUACUUGAAGUCCAGGAGAGGGACCUUGGAGAUCCUAGACCCACUCCCACAUAGCAGAGGUGAAGCAAUCAAGGCCCUGGGAGAGGAGUAUAGGGGUGAGGACAAAACUGUGUCCUGGGAUCAGGUCACACCCUGACACCAACAAAAGGGCUUGAGUUCUCCCCUCAAAUCUAACUCAACUCUUUCCUUUUCCAAGGCCAACCCAUCACAGUUAUUGCCCUCGUCCAUUCAGAGGUGUUCUUUACCAAUUCAGAGGAUUCUGAUGGAGAAGACAAUUUCCAUCUCUCUACUGUCUGUCAGGAGGAGGAGAACAUAAACCUGGAGAAACAAGAGGAAAAUGAAGAGGAAAAAUCCUACAAUCAAAAAUGGGAAUGGUGGUGAGCUGGAGACAUCAGUCUAAGCCUUCAAGUAUCCUGACAUCAUGUGGUUGGUGGUUGACAUCAGAUACCAUCCAAAGGAAACAGCCACCUCAUGCUCAUUCCCUUACAUCCCAUUCCCUAGUCAAACAAUUAAAUAAGAGCUUUGUUUUUUAAUUGUAUAAAUUUAGUGUUAAUUUUUGAAAUAAGUUUUAUAUUCAAUGUUUUAUUUCAGUAUAGUAAACACUAUUAUGCUACUAGUAGUUUUUCUUAAUAUUUUUCCAUGAAAUAAAUACAUAAAUAGGAAAGCACCGUGAACAAAAUUAGAUCUUAAUGAAUGAUUGUAAGGCUGUCCCCUUGUGGCUACAACCAAGGUCUCUCCCUCUCUCAUAAGAACCCUCAUUUCCUCUUUGUUCAAGAAAUGAUUGCAAACUUAGUACUUAGAGUCUGUCCUUAAGCCAGUGUCUUUGUAGACAUUUUCUUUACUGGCAUCUGUUCACUCAUCUGGAAGGGAUAUUGGGAACAAUUUUAAACAAGGUCUAACAGGAUAACUUGGAUGUCAACACCUAUUUUACUUAUAGUAAAAGUCAGUUGCGUUGGGGAUAAAAGUCAUGACCCACAGUUUCUUUACACAAAUAUAUUUAUCCAUUU
This is a long non-coding RNA of Choloepus didactylus (southern two-toed sloth), 1530 nucleotides long. RefSeq lists it as uncharacterized. The transcript is spliced from 5 exons. The record is from RefSeq and is a predicted model, not a curated record. NCBI's taxonomy places the organism in Eukaryota, Metazoa, Chordata, Mammalia, Pilosa, Megalonychidae.